This 253-nucleotide ribosomal RNA is filed under the name uncultured bacterium. Its description in RNAcentral is "partial 16S ribosomal RNA". It matches the Rfam family "Bacterial small subunit ribosomal RNA", at positions 524 to 776 of the family's 1533-position model. The record is from RNAcentral.
UACGGGGGGAGCAAGCGUUGUUCGGAUUCACUGGGCGUAAAGGGUGCGUAGGUGGCUUGGUAAGUUUGAUGUGAAAUCUCCGGGCUUAACCCGGAAAUGGCAUUGAAUACUAUUGAGCUGGAGGUUUGGAGGGGGGACUGGAAUUCUCGGUGUAGCAGUGAAAUGCGUAGAUAUCGAGAGGAACACCAGUGGCGAAGGCGAGUCCCUGGACAACACCUGACACUGAGGCACGAAAGCUAGGGGAGCAAACAGG